UAGGAGGGGAGGACCGGGGAGGGCUCGGGCACCCCCUGCCUGAGCUCGCGGAUGAACUGAGACGCAAACUGCAGCAACGCCAGCCACUGCCCGACUCCAACCCCGAGGAGUCAUCAGUAUGAGGGGAACCCCCACCGCGUUGGCGGGAAGCGUGGGAGGUGUAGCUCCUACUUUUGCACAGGCACCAGCUACCUCAGGGACAUGGCACGGGCACCUGCUCUGUCUGGGACAGAUACUUCCCAGCACCCACCCGGCCAUGAGGACCUGCUCUGCUCAGCACGGGCACUGCCACUUGGUGUGGCUCACCAGGGCACCAGCCUCGCAGAAGGCAUCUUCCUCCUCUCUGUGAAUCACAGACACGCGGGACCCCAGCCGCCAAAACUUUUCAAGGCAGAAGUUUCAAGAUGUGUGUUUGUAUUUGCACGUGUGUUUGUGUGUGUGUGUGUGUAUGUGUGUGUGCACGCACGUGCGCGCUUGUGGCAUAGCCUUCCUGUUUCUGUCAAGUCUUCCCUUGGCCUGGGUCCUCCUGGUGAGUCAUUGGAGCUAUGAAGGGGAAGGGGUCGUAUCACUUUGUCUCUCCUACCCCCACUGUCCCGAGUGUUGGGCAGCGAUGUACAUACGGGGAUGGGGUGGACAGGGUGUUGUGCCCCUUCAGGGGGAGUGCAGGGCUCAGGGUGGGCCUAGUCCUGCUCCUAGGGCUGUGAAUGUUUUCAGGGUGGGGGGAGGGAGAUGGAGCCUCCUGUGUGUUUGGGGGGAAGGGUGGGUGGGGCCUCCCACUUGGCCCCGGGGUUCAGUGGUAUUUUAUACUUGCCUUCUUCCUGUACAGGGCUGGGAAAGGCUGUGUGAGGGUAAAGAAGGGAGAGAGGGUGGGCCUGCUGUGGACAAUGGCAUACUCUCUUCCAGCCCUAGGAGGAGGGCUCCUAACGGUGUAACUUAUUGUGUCCCCGCGUAUUUAUUUGUUGUAAAUAUUUGAGUAUUUUUAUAUUGACAAAUAAAAUGGAGAAAAUGAAA
This is an RNA transcript of Nomascus leucogenys (northern white-cheeked gibbon), 1011 nucleotides long. RefSeq lists it as uncharacterized. NCBI's taxonomy places the organism in Eukaryota, Metazoa, Chordata, Mammalia, Primates, Hylobatidae. The record is from RefSeq and is a predicted model, not a curated record. The transcript has a single exon.